GGGGUAUUUUAAAAGUAGUUAUUAAGUUUUUUUCUUUAAAGCUUUUGAAACUUAAUAACACUUUAAGUUAACCUUGUUAAGAUCAUUAAUUUUACCUUUCAAAGAUCCAAGAACAAUUAUUAAAACCUUUUUGAUCAGAUAACUAAUAAACUAACUAACUAGAUCAUUGAUGCAUAAUUAACUGCAUCAAUGAUUUUUUUUUAUUAUUUUUACUGCAAAAAAUGCAGAUUUAUCUGUUCAAACCAAUGAUUUUAAAAGGCUUUUUUUUAUUAUUAAUCAUUGGUUAUUUUUUACUUGUGAUUUUAGCUUUAAUGCUUAUAAAAAAAUCCAAUGAUAAAAGUUUUUUUAGAAAAGUGUUGUGCAAACUGAUUUAUUGUGCUAUAAUCUUUAAGGCUUAUAGAGCUACAUUGUUCUUUGAAAACUGAAUACGACAAAUCUUUCUAGUCCGAAAUUUGAUUAAAGUAUCAAAUCAAAUUUCAUAUAAUAUAGAUUCAAUAAAAAUAGCUAAUGGAUCAAAUACAUAAGUUACUAAGGGCUUAU
Molecule: unclassified non-coding RNA, 540 nt
Filed under: Mycoplasmoides gallisepticum
Lineage: Bacteria; Bacillati; Mycoplasmatota; Mycoplasmoidales; Mycoplasmoidaceae
Description: Mycoplasma gallisepticum partial contains 16S-23S ribosomal RNA intergenic spacer and 23S ribosomal RNA
Source: RNAcentral